Bombus huntii is the source of this 7527-nucleotide long non-coding RNA. RefSeq lists it as uncharacterized. NCBI's taxonomy places the organism in Eukaryota, Metazoa, Arthropoda, Insecta, Hymenoptera, Apidae. The transcript is spliced from 10 exons. The record is from RefSeq and is a predicted model, not a curated record.
CAAGUUAUUUUACGUACGGAAAUAAGUCGAAAAUGUAGAAUAACACUUUUUCAUGGGACGCUCUAUUUCCAAGAAAAUGAAAUUUGAAACUUUGUCAAAUAUACUUAAAUCUGGCCAAUUCUGAACUGGAGAGAGCUAAAUAAUUUACAGGAGCUUGUUCUACGUGUUAAGAUAAACCAAAAGUUAGAAUAAAAGUUUUUAAUAGGGCGUUCAGUUUUCAAGUAGAUGAAAGCGUGACUUUGGACGAGAAAACUUUAUUUUACAUUUUAAAUUUGUUUUCUCACGUAGAACCGCUGCUUUACCAAAUGUACCAUGGUUACUGGAACACCCUGUACUUCACGCGAGGCAAUAUCGCUGAAGCGACCCUUAAAAAAUGAUUUUCGUCAUAAUCUACCGGCUCUCCGCAGAAUAAUUUGCCCCAAGACGAUAUCCUAAGAAAGCCAGCCUGUGGUUUAUAAUCCACCUUGUAUUUCCAUACAAAUUAACGACGCACUUCUGGGCCUGGACACGAAAUUUCUGGCAUCUUUCGAGACCAACAGAGAGGGAGAGAGAGAGGUUGGACGCCUUUUUCACGACACAAAGGAAAAGCCGGCUAUUUGUCUGCCUCCCCUGGCUGGUCUCUGUUAUUAAAGCCCUUCGUGUCUUUAUUUCACUGGGCCAUUGUCGAGCUUGGGAAAAAGCUUGUGCCGGAGUUUGCCUCUAGUUUGAUAGCUCCAAAACAGAAAUGGGAAUUUCAGACGACUUGUCUUCCUGGAAAUAAGUUUAGCCCACAGUGUCUUUAAUUUGAUAGAAGAUGGACGCUUUGUCGCAACUUUUUAUCUGGCCAUACAAUUUCUAGUAUUUUCUAGGGACAUUUUUAUUUGCUACUGGAUAAUUAUCAUAGUGGUAUCGCUUUGUGACUCUUCUAUGAGUGAAAAUAGUUAGAUGAUGAAAUGUUUAAUCGUUUCCUUUGACUUCCUCAAAUUUAAGUGUUUAUGACAAACAGAGCUCAAAUAAAAUGACGAAAUUGUGCUACAUUUAGUAAGUAUAAAGUUUACGAGUGAGAAAUAGAUUAGGAUGGACUGAUGUUGAAGUGUGAAGUUCUAACAGAGUGUGCAAGUACUUUGAAACAGCUUAAAAUAACAGUUCAGCGAUGUCGUCAUUGACCCAGACUGACAGAAGGAAAAUGGAGUAUUUCAUGACGGCCAGGCCAUCGAGUGAAUCGUUGGUUAGGUUUUAACAAUGCUGCUUGUGACCGAGGCAACAACUUAUUUUCGUGUAGCUCGUGAAACUUGUAUGUAAUAUCGCUACAAAGAGCUGAGAACUAGGCCAACCACGCAAAUGUGCCCAAAUGAAGUGCAUUCCUGCAUUCAGACAGUAUGGCAAGAAUCUCUUCACUUCAAAGUUGCCUUUCUUUGUUACCAAAACAUGGGACACAUCAAUACAUUUUGAAGUUUUUGACAGGUAUCUCGAAUUAUGAAAAAGAAAAUCCCCGAAAAUUAGAUCACUGUUAUCAUUCAGAUGUUAUCUUAAACCGGAGAGUCCCUGUGGUUAAGCUCAGGCCUUCUAAAUAGCAUAGUGAAGUUCCUGGAAUUAAGGAGAAAGAGGCAAACGGAGACAGGUCCAAUUAUCAGGCUAAUGCAAUCGUCUGAAGCGUCCCCGAAAUUCCUGCGAAACCGAAUUCGUAUUCAGGAUUCUACUAUGCGCAUGGACGAGCAUCAGAACAGCCCAGCAACAACAACAACAACCAACAGAUGCACUUGCUGUGCAUGCAACGAUGUGCAGCUAAGCGUGCGUGUUAACGCACGCUGUCGUGUGGAUGCAGCCUGUUCUCUAUGGGCUCUUCCUGGCCUACGUACAACGCUCUUGCGGAUUUAGUUCUGCUUUUUGACACCGCGAUUGCGAAACGACUUGACAAUGGAUUGGAAAACGAAGGGGCUCGUUGAGUUGAAAUUCUCCAACCGUUCGCUCAAUAUUUUUCCCACGCUGAUUCUACCAAUUGUACGUAACUCAAAGAGGUUACACGGAUCUUACGAGGAGAUAGAAAUAUCAGACAUGGAAAUGGCAACAUCGUGGAGUAAUUUUUUAAAUGUUUCAAAGAUCAGCCACUAAGAUGAUAAUAGCCACGUAGACCCGCAUGACAAAAUGCCGAAUUGAAACAAUUUUGUGGCAAGUGUUAAUUCUGAUUCUUUAACGUUACAAUGGCUGUUGGAAAGCUUCUUUUUAAUAGCCACGUGGAAAGAUGAUACGCCUGGCCAUUAAUUUGUACAAAGGAAUUUCACCAACCAUACGACGACCGCGUAACUUGGAUUUCUCAUAAAAACGUGGUAACAAUACUUCCUGGCGUUUUAGCAAAGAAAAAGAUUGAAACACCGGAUUAACAGGAAUAGAGAGAAAUGGUAAUCGAAAAUGGUGGCCGCGGGGCUCGCUCUGCGCUAUUCCCCCGGAAACAAUAGGCAACCCACGAGCGUCACGUGUGCAAAUCCAAGUGCAUUUCGUUGGGCGUGGAACAAUUGGAAGACCGCUAAUGAAAACGACCGCCGACCGGAUCAGAUUUAAUUUUAUUAAUAACCAAUAGCAUCUACCAGGCUACCAAUGAACGAAGAGCUACGAUUCCUCGAGUGAUCUUACGCGUUCGAUUUACGGCACAUAAAUUCGUUGAGGCAUGCCUUAUCGUGUACCCCUUAGGGACUUCCGACUGGCUGACCCAAAUGUUCCAUCCGGAUUGACCCAGUUUCUCCUCCGAACGUCCUCGAGGUAUCUGUCUCGUUUAUCUGCACGGAAGGCAACCUUCCGUUUCGCCGUUUCAGUUUUAUCGUUGGAACGGCGAACAUUCCACGAAAAUGCGAAUUGGGCAAAUUUAACUUAUUAACCAGGGAACGCCAGUUAACCGUUUCUAACCACUUGGACAUAAUUUUUUAUUCGAAUCCGCAAUAUUUUAGUCCAUCGAUUUAGUUCUGCUAACCUGUGCAGAUAAAUUCCACGGCAUUUAUACUCGUUGCGGUGGAAAUCGACAUUUUCGAGAUUUUGCGACAGAAGACGGGCAACGUUAUAUAAAAUUAGUAAAAGUUUUCGUUCGUGGUUAUUCGUUAACCGUAACAGAUUGAACGAAUCCCCCGCUCUCAUCAGACAACACAGCUUGUUUGUUUCAAUUAUUGGAAGCUAUGGAUUGAAAACAAGAUAUAAACAAAAAAAAAAAAAAUGAUAAAAAACACAGGUCGCAAUUCUAGCACUGUGUAUUAUAUUUUAUGAACGAACGACAUUCCAACAGCUUUCAUAAACAUUAAUACUGCGAAGAGAAGCAGUUAGUGUUUAUAUUUCAUCUUGCUCGUGGUUUUCUCUACUUUGAUGAAGGAACUUGAUACGCCACUAGAAGCGAUUUUACGUUGAGAAGAAUUUCAACCAUUUUCCACCAAAAUAUUUUCACCAGAAGCAUAAAAUAUAGUCAAAUUUUCGAUAAAUUAACAAGAUUUAUAACCAACCUUUUUCGUUUGCAUUCCACUCUACUCGAAAGUCUAGUAUUCUAUUUUAUAUUUCUUGUCGUCGAUUGUUUAUUAUUCAACGCAAGAAUACGUCGUUGUGAAUGUAUUAAAAUUUCAAUGAGAAAUUACCAAUUGGUCGGUGCAAGCAUUCUAACGAUUUCUCAAUUAAAUAAGUGAAAUAAAAUAAAACGAGAAAGGCAAAUAAAUUCGACGGAGUCGUAGCCGGUUUCGUAGGGGGUGGGCAGACGAGCUAAAUGAAUAAUCGUGGCAGUGGUUAAGCGUUCCUGGCUCGAAACUAAUUCGAGUUUCCUAAUGCCCGAUGUCGCGAGGACGCCAGCAAUUCCUGGGGCUAGGGCCGGUAUUUUCGAUUCAGACGCGCGCUACUCGAAAUCGUUCGAGCGUGCUUAAACAUUAACGUCCACUGGCGGAUUGUUACCGGUCCGUUAGUCCGUACGAUCCGCAUUCACAGAGUCAUCGGUGGCCGCCGGUCGUAGCGUCGAAAUUGCGUCAAUUAUUCGAGGAAGCCGGCUUGGCCCGCAAAUUGCGCGUUCCUCGCUGCUUCCACAGAGUUUUCAGUUUAUUGCAGACGUUUCGAAGGAACGUCCCCGACCACAAAUCCACGGAGAUCGUAACAGGAUUCGAAGAACGACGAGUUUCCCAUUCAGCCAUUAAAGCAUGCAAAUAAGAGGAGUCAGAAGAUUGAUGAAAUUAAUUAAUGCGUUUCUUCAAGAAAUUCGUUUUACCUGUGGAUGGCAUGUAUCUCGUUGCAAUUUCUUAUAUGUUAAUUUGCUUACGUUUAACUUCGCGAUUGCACGUGAUAUUUCAGACCAAAUGUAAUAUCCAGACCACUGUGGUAGAGCUGCGUCUAUCUCAACCGCGUUUAUUGGAACGAAAAUUUAGUUCACGCUUGAUUAACCGAGCCCCUGCCGAUUGAAUUUCUUGAGAAUUUUGGAUCUUAAUAGCCGAAAUAAUGGUAUAGGAACACUAAAUCUACACUUAGAAUUUAUAUUACAAUAAUUCUAUAUUUAUUGGAUAAGCGAUUUCAGAGAUAUUCAUCGAUACACAUUUGCACGCGUCUCAGCACUUUCUUCUAUCUCUGUUAACCGACUGAACAGUUUACCUUCGUUUGUCUCUUCGAGACGCCGCGCACACACAUACUUGCGUACACACAUACUUGCGUACACUGAUAUUUACAUACAAGUAUUACUACUACGCAUCUGACCUAGUCUAACACAUAAACAUAUACAUAUCUCGGUAGAAUUCAAUGAACGUGAGCUUCUAUUAUGUGAAAAUAUUAUUAUUAGAUAGCGAAGAAAAUUGACGAGCUCCUAUUAUAGGAACUGCAAUUUUACAAACUGUCCCGCUACGACCACUUACUUAACUUCAUAGUUAGGUAUAGUAAUUCAAUCGUAAUCUAAUACUUAUGUAGACUAAUAUAAAUUUAUAUUCAUGUUAAAUCAUCUUAAAUGAAAUUUCAUAUGCAGAAGCGAAGCUAUUUAGUACAAUAAGUAUGGAGGAAGCGAGGCAAAAACUGAGACCCUUGCUGAGGAGCCAUUGGAAGGGAAAGUGUGUACAAGGAGGUUUGAAGAGCAGGGGAACUCGGAUGAAAGGGUGUGCCAUGGCCUAAUGCGAGCGAACAAACCAUUAAACUACACUCAGCCGGUACUCCACUGAUUAUAACCCAUUAGACAUGACAUGUGUGCAUUAAACGAGUUAUCGCGCGCGUAGACUGUUCCCUGCUACACGAUCGGAACCAUCCUGUUGGCUGACGUGGAUGAACCUAAUAAUUCCAAUGGGAGAGACGUUCUAUUCAGUGAUUUAAAUCGGGACAGACUAUACUAUCAUGGAAUAAUAAAUCUCUGCUCUUUUUUCACGAUGUUUGAGGAUGUUUGAGGAUGUUUGAGGAUGUUUGAGCACGUAAUUCGAUCAUCAAUGGAUCUACGAUAAGUUUUUAUUUUCUACGAUUGUUACAGCUAUGUCAUAGGUAAACUGUUACAGCCAUAGCAGAACGUUAUGAUGCUGCAAAAUUGAUUUUUAAAUAGCAACGAGCAAUGAUCUCUGAAAAGCUCUUAAUUCCUCUGGUUCCUAAGGUAUGAAUCAUUGUUAAAAAUAAAUUUACAGAGAAGUUUACAGAAAAUAUUUUUCAGAAUAUUCAAAUUUAUAAUUUGCCAAUUCCUUAGGAUCAAAUGAUCAAAUGUUCAAUCCUAAUCAUCAAUGUUUGCAUUAAUUUUGGUAACAUCUUUUGACAAUUUUCCCUUUUUUGCCAAGUUUUGGUAAAAUUUAAUAUUCGUUGGUAUAAUUUCAUAUUUUGCCCUUAAUAAAAUUGAUUACUUUUAUGUACUAAUUUUCAUAUAUAAAUAUUGGGUUGGUCAAAAUAAACGAGGAUUAAAAAAUUGUUAAAUCAAGUUUUAGGUUAGCCUGCUUGAUUAGAAGGGGAGAAUGAUACGAGGAAAAAAGUUUCAGCGUCACGGAAGUUCUGUAAGGACAGGAGGAGGGCGAGUGACCGACGAACGAGUUGGAAAAAGUUAGGGGAAUGAACCGAGUGCGCUUUCGGGGAUAACGAAUCGUCGUUCGAACGUUUCUGGAGCACGCUUCGGCUUUAAUUCCAGGGAAUUGGCAAGUUCAUCCAGGCCAAGUAUCGCUAAAGGGCAGGCUCCUCGUCGAAGCUGCUUCUAGGUUUCCAAUCGACGCCUUGAUUUCCUCCGAAACGAUCCGCACGUACGAAAGAAAUUACCAUAAAAAACUUUGCAAUCGAAUUAAAUUUCUCUUCAAAAAAUUUCAAGAUGAGAAGAUUUCCAAUAAGAAAAGAAUUGAUGAAAAAGUAUCUGUGCUGUAAUUUAAGCAUAAGUAACGCAUUAAAAAUUGUUCGAACAAUGUUUUUAACCAACCAAAUACGUAAAAGUGAUAAAACACAUAUUAUGAUAUAGAAAGGGCAAUGAAAUAGUAGUAAAUGUCAUUUCAAGCAAAAUGAGUCAGAGGUAAAUCUAUAGAUGGUAUAUUCGAUAUUACUGACAGGCCAUCUAGGUAUAUUUCAUUUUUCAGUGAACCUUUCAGCCGAGUACAAUUCGUAAGAUUAAUGUUCUUUUCAAUUUGAAUAUAUUUUGCACGAUGGAGAAUCACCCAUUGCUGUUUUAAUAAUUCAGCCUUCACCUCCUAGGUUGGCUGACCUUAAAACGUCCAACGUUACUGGCAGCCGUCUGACGCGACACGUUCCGCGACUACUUGUACCGUUCGAUAGAACGUCGACCUCUAUCACUGACAGACUCGUCUAGUAGCGAGGCGUCGCAUUAGUCAGCCAGAAGAGCUGCGAGCAAACGGAAGGAUAAUAAAUACCGCGCGCCACUUGUUGCUCUUAUUUCAGCAGAAUCAAAGAUACCACCAGCUUCUUCAGACUCUAGGAAAUGCUAUAGGAAGAAGUACUCGGUCCAAUCUGGCCACUGUUUCCCUUGUGGAGAAUUAUGGAUGCUGGUAGCAGAGGGCCCAACAGCUCAGAAGAAAAACAGGAUUAAUAAUUGUUGGAUCGAAAGUACGGAGUUGGAAUGACGGAACAAAUAUUUGGACGGAAGUGGUUCCCGGACGAAAGCGAUUUCAUCGAGUCCCAGGAGGCACGUACUUGCCGGGGGACUUCGGACGCGGCUUCCCCUCGGCCCUUUCAUCGUGCCGGAGUUCGACAAGUUCGACAAUACUGGCUCAUCAGGCCAUUGUCGGCCAGAUGACCGGAGGGGUUGAACCUCCCGUUCUUUUUUGGACCUCCCACUUUGCCAGCUCAUAACUUUAGCUUCAAAAACCGCCCGAAAUUCGUGCCUCCAGACUGGAAUACCCCCUUAACGAAUCCGAUGGUCUGGUACAGUUCUCCUUCGCAGCAUCAUCGUGACAGAAAGAGAGUACCUCGACGUAUCUUGAACAGUCAGCAUCUUAACUUCUACCGCGCUCUCUGCUCAAUCGCUACCUUAACUUAUCGUCUAUCGGUCGAGUUGUAACCACCAAGUGCGAAUCGUCAAUUGUGAUCGCGAGCUCUAUGUAAAGUGUCGAAAGCGAGAAGUAUUAAUAAAUAUACUGUUCAAAC